RNAcentral lists this ribosomal RNA (253 nucleotides) under uncultured bacterium. Its description in RNAcentral is "partial 16S ribosomal RNA". It matches the Rfam family "Bacterial small subunit ribosomal RNA", at positions 524 to 776 of the family's 1533-position model. The record is from RNAcentral.
UACGAAGGGGGCUAGCGUUGUUCGGAAUUACUGGGCGUAAAGGGCGCGUAGGCGGCCGAUCAAGUCAGAUGUGAAAGUCCUGGGCUUAACCUGGGGACUGCAUUUGAUACUGGUUGGCUUGAAUGCAGGAGAGGAUAGCGGAAUUCCCAGUGUAGAGGUGAAAUUCGUAGAUAUUGGGAAGAACAUCGGUGGCGAAGGCGGCUAUCUGGACUGUGAUUGACGCUGAGGCGCGAAAGCGUGGGGAGCAAACAGG